UACAGAGGUCCCAAGCGUUGUUCGGAUUCACUGGGCGUAAAGGGUGCGCAGGCGGCCAAGUGUGUGAGGCGUGAAAGCCCGGGGCUUAACCUCGGAAUUGCACCUCAAACUACAUGGCUAGAGCAUUGGAGAGGGUAGCAGAAUUCACGGUGUAGCAGUGAAAUGCGUAGAUAUCGUGAGGAAUACCAGAGGCGAAGGCGGCUACCUGGACAAUUGCUGACGCUCAGGCACGAAAGCGUGGGGAGCAAAAGGG
This 253-nucleotide ribosomal RNA is filed under the name uncultured bacterium. RNAcentral's name for it is "partial 16S ribosomal RNA". It matches the Rfam family "Bacterial small subunit ribosomal RNA", at positions 524 to 776 of the family's 1533-position model. The record is from RNAcentral.